AGAGUUUGAUCCUGGCUCAGGAUGAACGCUGGCUGUGUGCCUAAUACAUGCAUGUCGAGCGAGGUUCUUUUGAACCUAGCGGCGAAUGGGUGAGUAACAUGUGCUUAAUCUACCCUUUAGAUUGGAAUACCCAAUGGAAACAUUGGCUAAUGCCGGAUACGCAUGGAAUCGCAUGAUUCCUUUGUGAAAGGAGCCCUUAAAGCUCCGCUAGAGGAUGAGGGUGCGGAACAUUAGUUAGUUGGUAGGGUAAUGGCCUACCAAGACUAUGAUGUUUAGCCGGGUCGAGAGACUGAACGGCCACAUUGGGACUGAGAUACGGCCCAAACUCCUACGGGAGGCAGCAGUAGGGAAUAUUCCACAAUGAGCGAAAGCUUGAUGGAGCGACACAGCGUGCACGAUGAAGGUCUUCGGAUUGUAAAGUGCUGUUAUAGGGAAAGAACACCUGGUUGA
This 450-nucleotide ribosomal RNA is filed under the name Mycoplasmopsis arginini. RNAcentral describes it as "bacterial SSU rRNA". It matches the Rfam family "Bacterial small subunit ribosomal RNA", at positions 8 to 460 of the family's 1533-position model. The record is from RNAcentral. Lineage: Bacteria; Bacillati; Mycoplasmatota; Mycoplasmoidales; Metamycoplasmataceae.